This 254-nucleotide ribosomal RNA is filed under the name uncultured bacterium. Its description in RNAcentral is "partial 16S ribosomal RNA". It matches the Rfam family "Bacterial small subunit ribosomal RNA", at positions 524 to 777 of the family's 1533-position model. The record is from RNAcentral.
UACGUAGGGGGCGAGCGUUGUCCGGAAUUAUUGGGCGUAAAGAGCUCGUAGGCGGCCUGUUGCGUCCGCUGUGAAAACCCGGGGCUUAACCCCGGGCUUGCAGUGGAUACGGGCAGGCUGGAGGCAGGCAGGGGAGAACGGAAUUCCCGGUGUAGCGGUGAAAUGCGCAGAUAUCGGGAGGAACACCGGUGGCGAAGGCGGCAUCCUGGACUGGUACUGACGCUCAGGAGCGAAAGCGUGGGGAGCGAGUCCGG